CUUCCCGCUGCCAGCGUCACUUUCUUUGCCGGCAAGCUGUUAGUCUCCACAUCUCACUUUUUUUUUGCAACUUCAGUCUCCUCCGUGACUUAACUUCUCCAAAAUGAGUGUAAGAAGAAACCAGAUGUCCUUCUCCCGCUCCACUCCCAACUACAGUUCUUUCAGUGUCCAUGCUGGUUCUGGUGGGUAUGGGUCCCGCAUUUCCUCUCCAUCUACAUCUUCCAUGCGCUCUGGUGCCCCCUUCAUCUCUGCCUCCUCGGCCUCCCGGCUGAGCAGUGGAAUGGGUGGAGGUAUGGGCUCAGGUUUUGGUGGUGCCGGUGCAUCUGUGGCGGCUGGCGGUGGUGCCAGUGGUGCUGGGAUCCUGGGCAACGAGAAGGGAGCCAUGCAGAACCUGAACGACCGCCUGGCCAACUACCUGGACACGGUGAGGAACCUGGAGAAAGCCAACCAGGAGCUGGAGACGAAGAUCAGGCAGGCUCUGGAGAAGGGAGGGCCAGACAUGAGGGACUACAGCAAGUACGAGCCAAUCAUUGAUGACCUGCGCAGACAGAUCUUCGAUAAGAUCGCAGAGAACGCUCGUUUUGUGCUCCAGAUUGACAACGCCCGCCUUGCUGCUGACGACUUCAAAGUGAAGUUUGACAAUGAGCUGGCAAUCCGCCAGUCUGUGGAGGCCGACAUCGCCGGGCUUAAGAAACUCAUUGACGACACCAACAUGACCAGGAUGAACAUCGAGAGUGAGAUCGAGGCUGUGAAGGAGGAGCUCUCCUUCCUCAAGAAGAACCACGAGAACGAGGUGAUGGAGAUGAGGAAUCAGAUCUCUUCAUCAGGCGUGCAGGUGGACGUUGACGCUCCUAAAGGUCAGGACCUGUCUCAGGUCAUGGAGGACGUGAGGAGCAACUAUGAAAAGAUAGCAGUGAAGAAUGCAGAGGAUCUCAAACGGUGGCAUGAAAAUCAGAUCUCAGAGGUGCAGGUGCAGGUAUCACAGAACACAGAAGCCCUACAGGGAGCCCAGAUGGAGAGGAGCGACCUAACCAGGCAGAUACAGACCCUGGAAAUUGAACUUGCGUCCCAACAGAGCUUGAAAGCCUCUUUAGAAGACACAUUAAACAACACAGAGCUAAGAAACAACAUGGAAAUGGAAAAGUACAACGCCAUUAUUAUGCGACUUGAAGAAGAGCUGACCAACUUGCGUGCAAACAUCCAGCAACAGACGCAGGAUUACGAGGCGCUGCUCAACAUGAAGAUGAAACUAGAGGCUGAGAUUUCCAUGUACAAGAGUCUGCUGGAUGGUGGAGACUUCAAGUAAGAGUUAUAAAGAGGUGGACGGAAAAAAAUCAGAUGGUGGUGGUGGUGGAGGUUCGAGGAUGCACUGGAUGAGCUUGCCGGAACAAUCUAAUUUGGAACAAAGAAUUUGGUACCAUCCCAAAUACUGAAAGAAGGAACUACAAGAAUUCACUCUAAAAAAAAGUCCAUGCUGGUCCACUCAAUCAAAUAAAACUGAUGCUGGCUUGACAGCAAAAUAAACUUACAUGCAACCACUAUAA
Molecule: RNA transcript, 1544 nt
Organism: Notolabrus celidotus (New Zealand spotty)
Lineage: Eukaryota; Metazoa; Chordata; Actinopteri; Labriformes; Labridae
Gene name: keratin, type I cytoskeletal 18-like
Exons: 7
Source: RefSeq, a predicted model, not a curated record